AUGAAUCCAAAAUCCCCAAGCCGGGGAGGUGAAACUUUUCAUAGAGCUUAUGUCAACAAAGGGUCCAUCAACUUCAUGGUGACCGACGAUCUGCCCAUCGUCGAUUUCUCCUUGGCCAAGAGCCUCCAGGCCAUACGCGCAGUGAAGAUCCCGAAGAGGGAGCUUGUGGAGAAAGAGCUAGUUCUAGACAAAACCAAGGUGCGAAUUAUCAAGUCAAGAGAAUUAGCUGGUUCUUCCUUAUUGUUCAGUUUUGUACUACAAUGUUCUGAACGACUGACUGUUUGCUGGCAUCAUCAAGUCCUGACAACCUCGACUGAAGCCACCACAGCGUGUGGCCUCCGGCUGAGGAGGAGCGCGACCCCGAAAGCCCCGCGUGCCCUUUUCUUAAUUUGUUUUUUCCUUUCUGUUUUUCUUUUUUCUCUCUAA
This 426-nucleotide ribosomal RNA is filed under the name Triticum aestivum (bread wheat). RNAcentral's name for it is "partial small subunit ribosomal RNA". The record is from RNAcentral. Lineage: Eukaryota; Viridiplantae; Streptophyta; Magnoliopsida; Poales; Poaceae.